CACGGACCCGCCAGAUUGAGUGCAAGCUGGCAAAUCAUUUAUUAACAGUCAAGCACACGUUUUUAUACUCCUCGAUUACAUAAGAGGUUACAUAAUCAUAGAGCACGUGCUAUUUCCCCAACGAUCAUUCUCGAAUUCUUCCAGUGGGCAUGAGCAGUCGAGCACUCUCUUCGUGGGCCUGCUGCAGAGACUACAUUUCCCAUCCUUCCUUGCGGUAAUCUUCCUGUAAGGUGUUAACCCUUACAGGAUGUUAACAGCUGAGUUAACACUGUAAUUUAUUCUUCUUCUAUCCUCAGUCCUUGCUCUGUCCUUCCACUGCUGUUUUGGAUCUUAUCCCUUUUGCCUUUAAGUUGAAUUAUUUUUUCUCUGUGUAGCUUCAGUGUCACUACUGCAAUCAUGAAACUUUGAACAGAAGAAGAAAAAAGUAAAGGUUUGGAGGUAAAUGUGAUACAACAAAGAGCAGGGGCUUUCUCCAGCCAGUUGACAUUACACAAGAAUGAAAGUUUGAGUCCUAGGAAACGUCAACACUCAGAUACUAAAUCCGAACUGCAAGACAAGAGGGCUGGUCACAGUGGAAGAAGUAAAUUGACAAAGAGGUGGGAUAGUGAGGAAGGGAUGAGUGGAGGAUUCAUUCUUGCAGGAUUUGAAAAUGGGGUACUGGAACAAUAGCUGAAUGAACAAAAUGGCUCUAUCCCCAAAGACAAGCAGGGGAAGGAGAGAACUAAUGAAGAAACUAAAAAAAGACAGACAACAGUGUGAGUCAAAAAGAAUGGUAAGAGUAGAGACGGAAGAUGUAGAAACAAUAGCUGUGAUAUGAUUGCUUCAGCAGAGUAGGUAUUUCAUCCUAUGUUUAAGUGUGUUUAUAUGUUACAAGACUCUUGUACUAAGGGUAAAAAAAAGAAAAAUAUUGGCAUUGAACAAAGAGCUAAAUCAUACAUUUUCGCUCCCUGAGCAGUCAAAAAGUGUUCCUCUUGUUAGCCUUUGGGUCAGUUUCAUUUGAAGUACACUGAAAUUGAUAUCAAAUAUGUGUAACCUAGAUAUUUUGCUUCUGGUUAAAGAAAGUGACAGAAGACUUCAAUAAUGAAAGACAGUAUGUGUAGAAAUUCUAAGAACUAAAUUAUUUGUUGUUUGCUUUAUAUUUUUAAUCCUC
Long non-coding RNA from Chiroxiphia lanceolata (lance-tailed manakin), 1150 nucleotides. RefSeq lists it as uncharacterized. NCBI's taxonomy places the organism in Eukaryota, Metazoa, Chordata, Aves, Passeriformes, Pipridae. The transcript is spliced from 4 exons. The record is from RefSeq and is a predicted model, not a curated record.